This is a non-coding RNA of Pelobates cultripes (western spadefoot toad), 256 nucleotides long. NCBI's taxonomy places the organism in Eukaryota, Metazoa, Chordata, Amphibia, Anura, Pelobatidae. The record is from the annotation of a GenBank genome assembly.
GCCAAAAGCACCAAAGCCUGGUUCAAUGACCGUGGGAUUACUGUGCUUGAUUGGCCAGCAAACUCGCCUGACCUGAACCCCAUAGAGAAUCUAUGGGGCUUUGCCAAGGGAAGGAUGAGAGACAUGAGACCGAACAAUGCAGAAGAGCUGAAGGCCGCUAUUGAAGCAUCCUGGUCUUCCAUAACAUCUCAGCAGUGCCACAGGCUGAUAGCUUCCAUGCCACGCCGCUUUGAGACAGUAAUUGCUGCAAAAGGGG